AUUGAACGCUGGCGGCAUGCUUUACACAUGCAAGUCGAACGGUAACAGGCCGCAAGGUGCUGACGAGUGGCGAACGGGUGAGUAAUGUUUGGCCUCGCGCCUUUGGAGCGGCCGAUGUCAGAUUAGGUAGUUGGUGGGGUAAAGGCCUACCAAGCCGACGAUCUGUAGCUGGUCUGAGAGGACGACCAGCCACACUGGGACUGUGACACGGCCCAGACUCCUACGGGAGGCAGCAGUAGGGAAUAUUGGGCAAUGGGCGGAAGCCUGACCCAGCCACGCCGCGUGCAGGAAGACGGCCCUCUGGGUUGUAAACUGCUUUUAACUGGGAAGAAAAGAGGCCUUGCGAGGCAAGUUGACGGUACCAGUUGAAUAAGCCACGGCUAACUACGUG
RNAcentral lists this ribosomal RNA (391 nucleotides) under uncultured bacterium. RNAcentral describes it as "bacterial SSU rRNA". It matches the Rfam family "Bacterial small subunit ribosomal RNA", at positions 30 to 507 of the family's 1533-position model. The record is from RNAcentral.